This 250-nucleotide ribosomal RNA is filed under the name uncultured Streptococcus sp. RNAcentral describes it as "partial 16S ribosomal RNA". It matches the Rfam family "Bacterial small subunit ribosomal RNA", at positions 94 to 339 of the family's 1533-position model. Lineage: Bacteria; Bacillati; Bacillota; Bacilli; Lactobacillales; Streptococcaceae. The record is from RNAcentral.
AGUUGCGAACGGGUGAGUAACGCGUAGGUAACCUGCCUUGUAGCGGGGGAUAACUAUUGGAAACGAUAGCUAAUACCGCAUAACAAUGGAUGACACAUGUCAUUUAUUUGAAAGGGGCAAUUGCUCCACUACAAGAUGGACCUGCGUUGUAUUAGCUAGUAGGUGAGGUAAUGGCUCACCUAGGCGACGAUACAUAGCCGACCUGAGAGGGUGAUCGGCCACACUAGGACUGAGACACGGCCCAGACUCC